This 285-nucleotide long non-coding RNA is filed under the name Rattus norvegicus (Norway rat). RNAcentral describes it as "long non-coding RNA NONRATT010763". The record is from RNAcentral. Lineage: Eukaryota; Metazoa; Chordata; Mammalia; Rodentia; Muridae.
UACAGGACAUAGAUGUUGCAGAGAAGGCUUUUCAGACCAAGCUUACCCCACAUCCACAGCCGGAGAUGCUUUCUCUUGAGACUCGUUACUGGGCAUCAGUAGAAGAACAUGUCCCCAAAUGGGAACAGUUUCUUUUAGGAAAAGCACUGUAUCCGAUUGGGGCUGAAAGUCAAAGUGAGGCACCAUUUGUUCAAAGCGAAGCGAAGUCCUAACUUAUUCAUAUGCUCUGGGGGUGUUGGGGCACCGAAAACCUAUUUGAUAAAACUAUGUAAGUUGUGGCAGAAA